Apodospora peruviana is the source of this 104-nucleotide non-coding RNA. The record is from the annotation of a GenBank genome assembly. NCBI's taxonomy places the organism in Eukaryota, Fungi, Ascomycota, Sordariomycetes, Sordariales, Lasiosphaeriaceae.
GCCCGCAUGGCUCAGUGGUAGAGCGCAUCACUAGUAACCUGACUCUUCGCAGAGCAAUCUCUAGGUCAAUGAUGAGGUCGUCAGUUCGAUUCUGGCUGUGGGCA